CAGCAUGCAGCCUGCCUCCACGGUUGGGCUGCAAGCCAGGGGAGCCGCGGGGUCUGCAACCAGGCUGCCUGCCAUAUGUUGUUUCUUGCAAUUAGCAGGUGCUUGGGGUGUGGGCUGGGCACCCAGAGGGCAAGGCGACUGCCUCUGCCAGGGAAACUCUCGUGAGCCAUACCAAGAGCUCAGGAAGAGAAACAAGGUGGCUGGGGGUUGAUGGGCAACCCCCAGGGCCAGUAAGAUGUGCUGGUCACGAAAGAAAUCUCUGUUUGCAGACAGUUUUAUUCCUGUACAGGUAUUUACAGCUUGCUACUGCAAAUUGAUGGAUCUUUAUUUCUGGAACUGUAGUCAUUCUUGCAGGUCCGUCGGUGCAGACAUUUUGGGAUAGUCCUUUGAUGUCUAUCAUCACACUAUGGAAGAGUGAGCAAAGCUUUCCCAGAAGUUCUGCAGCAGAAUUUCCAUCGUAUUUCAAUGACCAGAGCUGAGUCAUGUGCUUGUGCUUUGAAGAUUGCUUGACAAUGAGAAAAUCACUGUCUGCAGCAUGGAAAAAGAUCCUCACCAGAACCAGAUCAUGUUGGCACCCGAAUCUUGGACUUCCAGCUUCCAGAACUGUAAGAAAUACAUUUCUGUUAUCUGUAAGCCACCCAGUCGAUGGUGUUGUGUUAUGGCAGCCAGAAUGGAGCUGACAGAGUGUUGUUUUAAGGGUGAAAUGAGAUGAUGUAUUAAAGUCUGGUACAGCAUCAAGCUCACAGUAAGUGCCCACUAAAUGGUAGAGACUAUUACUGGGACUGAUUUUCAGUGUCCCCUCCUUUGUGAAGCCUUUUCCAGUCCCGGAUGGAAUGACUGAAGACUCCUUUGAUAGUCUCACACACAGAGUAUAUCUUUAUGUUGCGUGGGAAAAAUGCGGUAUUGGAGUUCAAGCUACAUACCAGCAUUAAACCGAGUUUCCAAAUAGUACUAUUACUUGAUGAUUAGUUGCAGAGAGUUUGGAUUCUUGCAGACAAUGAUUCAAGACUUAGCCCUGCCACUUACAAAAUGUAUACUAUAGUGAUUGAACCUUUAGACUAAGAAUCCCACCUUUACCCUUUCCUGGUUGGGUGAUCUCAGGCAAGUCUUUAAGCCUCUAAGAGCGUGUUUCCUCAUUCAUAAAGCGUGGCUCAGUGGAAACCUACCUCCUGGGGUUGCUGUGAGGAUUAGAAGUGAUAACACAUGUAUAAAGCAUGUUGCAAAGGGUAUUAUCAAGGGUAAUGACUCUUUAAAGCAAAUUUCCUGUAAUCCAAUUCUAGUUGAUUAUGGCUUAAGAUUUUGAGAUCCUCAGUGACAGUGAAUGGGGCAUGUUUCUCUGAUUUCUCAGGACUUGGCAUGCAGUUGGUGCUUAAUUAAUGUCAACUGAACUGAAGAUAACUCUGUUGAAUUUUGAAAAGUGCAGUGGAGGAGAGAGGAGGAAAAAUAUUAUAAGCAGAGUGAAGGCCAAGUCACAAAGCGGUGAUAACAGUGUCAGCUUCUCUAGCAAUAACCUAGUCAAACUUCACAUCAUUUUCUUCAACUUGCUUUUUCCUCGCUCAAGCAUUUCUGGUGUUUAUUGCUCCUAGGAGUGCAAAGAUGAGAAGAGGCUGCCACUCAGCUGCGAUAUAUGAGGACUGACACUGUACCUUCUCUUAAUCUCCUACCUUCUCUCCUCACCCUACUUGCCACUUUUUAAAAUUUUGCUUUAAUGUGAUCAAUAUUAUAAAAUCCAAUAAAGAAAAAGAUUUAAAAAU
Molecule: long non-coding RNA, 1754 nt
Filed under: Homo sapiens (human)
Lineage: Eukaryota; Metazoa; Chordata; Mammalia; Primates; Hominidae
Description: HSALNT0227383
Source: RNAcentral